This 1537-nucleotide ribosomal RNA is filed under the name Klebsiella variicola At-22. RNAcentral describes it as "16S ribosomal RNA". It matches the Rfam family "Bacterial small subunit ribosomal RNA". The record is from RNAcentral. Lineage: Bacteria; Pseudomonadati; Pseudomonadota; Gammaproteobacteria; Enterobacterales; Enterobacteriaceae.
UUGAAGAGUUUGAUCAUGGCUCAGAUUGAACGCUGGCGGCAGGCCUAACACAUGCAAGUCGAGCGGUAGCACAGAGAGCUUGCUCUCGGGUGACGAGCGGCGGACGGGUGAGUAAUGUCUGGGAAACUGCCUGAUGGAGGGGGAUAACUACUGGAAACGGUAGCUAAUACCGCAUAACGUCGCAAGACCAAAGUGGGGGACCUUCGGGCCUCAUGCCAUCAGAUGUGCCCAGAUGGGAUUAGCUAGUAGGUGGGGUAACGGCUCACCUAGGCGACGAUCCCUAGCUGGUCUGAGAGGAUGACCAGCCACACUGGAACUGAGACACGGUCCAGACUCCUACGGGAGGCAGCAGUGGGGAAUAUUGCACAAUGGGCGCAAGCCUGAUGCAGCCAUGCCGCGUGUGUGAAGAAGGCCUUCGGGUUGUAAAGCACUUUCAGCGGGGAGGAAGGCGGUGAGGUUAAUAACCUCAUCGAUUGACGUUACCCGCAGAAGAAGCACCGGCUAACUCCGUGCCAGCAGCCGCGGUAAUACGGAGGGUGCAAGCGUUAAUCGGAAUUACUGGGCGUAAAGCGCACGCAGGCGGUCUGUCAAGUCGGAUGUGAAAUCCCCGGGCUCAACCUGGGAACUGCAUUCGAAACUGGCAGGCUAGAGUCUUGUAGAGGGGGGUAGAAUUCCAGGUGUAGCGGUGAAAUGCGUAGAGAUCUGGAGGAAUACCGGUGGCGAAGGCGGCCCCCUGGACAAAGACUGACGCUCAGGUGCGAAAGCGUGGGGAGCAAACAGGAUUAGAUACCCUGGUAGUCCACGCUGUAAACGAUGUCGAUUUGGAGGUUGUGCCCUUGAGGCGUGGCUUCCGGAGCUAACGCGUUAAAUCGACCGCCUGGGGAGUACGGCCGCAAGGUUAAAACUCAAAUGAAUUGACGGGGGCCCGCACAAGCGGUGGAGCAUGUGGUUUAAUUCGAUGCAACGCGAAGAACCUUACCUGGUCUUGACAUCCACAGAACUUUCCAGAGAUGGAUUGGUGCCUUCGGGAACUGUGAGACAGGUGCUGCAUGGCUGUCGUCAGCUCGUGUUGUGAAAUGUUGGGUUAAGUCCCGCAACGAGCGCAACCCUUAUCCUUUGUUGCCAGCGGUUAGGCCGGGAACUCAAAGGAGACUGCCAGUGAUAAACUGGAGGAAGGUGGGGAUGACGUCAAGUCAUCAUGGCCCUUACGACCAGGGCUACACACGUGCUACAAUGGCAUAUACAAAGAGAAGCGACCUCGCGAGAGCAAGCGGACCUCAUAAAGUAUGUCGUAGUCCGGAUUGGAGUCUGCAACUCGACUCCAUGAAGUCGGAAUCGCUAGUAAUCGUAGAUCAGAAUGCUACGGUGAAUACGUUCCCGGGCCUUGUACACACCGCCCGUCACACCAUGGGAGUGGGUUGCAAAAGAAGUAGGUAGCUUAACCUUCGGGAGGGCGCUUACCACUUUGUGAUUCAUGACUGGGGUGAAGUCGUAACAAGGUAACCGUAGGGGAACCUGCGGUUGGAUCACCUCCUUA